UACAUGGGGUGCAAACGUUGCUCGAAAUUAUUGGGCGUAAAGCGCACGUAGGCGGUUCGUUAAGUCGGAUGUGAAAGCCCUCGGCUCAACUGAGGAAGUGCACCCGAAACUGGCGAGCUUGAGUACGAAAGAGGAUCGCGGAAUUCCCGGUGUAGAGGUGAAAUUCGUAGAUAUCAGGAGGAACACCGGUGGCGAAGGCGGGUCUCUGGGCCGUAACUGACGCUGAGGAGCGAAAGCGUGGGGGAGCGAACAGG
Molecule: ribosomal RNA, 254 nt
Filed under: uncultured bacterium
Lineage: Bacteria
Description: partial 16S ribosomal RNA
Rfam family: Bacterial small subunit ribosomal RNA
Source: RNAcentral